GAAUUCAGUAGUGAUUCAGGCCUAACACAUGCAAGUCGAGCGGGGUUUUCGGACCUAGCGGCGGACGGGUGAGUAAUGCGUAGGAAGCUACCCGAUAGAGGGGGAUGCCAGUUGGAAACGACUGUUAAUACCGCAUAAUGUCUACGGACCAAAGUGUGGGACCUUCGGGCCACAUGCUAUCGGAUGCGCCUACGUGGGAUUAGCUAGUUGGUGAGGUAAUGGCUCACCAAGGCGACGAUCUCUAGCUGGUUUGAGAGGAUGAUCAGCCACACUGGAACUGAGACACGGUCCAGACUCCUACGGGAGGCAGCAGUGGGGAAUAUUGGACAAUGGGCGCAAGCCUGAUCCAUCAAGGCCGCGUGUGUGAAGAAGGCCUUCGGGUGUAAAUUAAAUGGAGUAGGGAGGAAGGGUUAAGUGUUAAUAGUAC
This 427-nucleotide ribosomal RNA is filed under the name uncultured bacterium. Its description in RNAcentral is "bacterial SSU rRNA". It matches the Rfam family "Bacterial small subunit ribosomal RNA", at positions 37 to 473 of the family's 1533-position model. The record is from RNAcentral.